AUGUCGUGAUGAGGACACUUCUGGAGGAGAUCUCUGAAUCUAUCCCAACCCUCAUGAAAAGGCUCCUCAGGUCUUUGAGCAAAACGGGUAAUGGCAUUUCGAUACU
Small nucleolar RNA from Cornus florida, 106 nucleotides. The record is from RefSeq and is a predicted model, not a curated record. Lineage: Eukaryota; Viridiplantae; Streptophyta; Magnoliopsida; Cornales; Cornaceae.